GAUGAAGAACGCAGCGAAAUGCGAUACGUAAUGUGAAUUGCAGAAUUCAGUGAAUCAUCGAAUCUUUGGACGCACAUUGCGCCCGCCAGCACUCUGGCGGGCAUGCCUGUUCGAGCGUCAUUUCAACCAUCAAGCCCCAGGCUUGCGUUGGAGCCCUGCGGCUGCCGCAGCCUCCUAAAAGCAGUGGCGGGCUCGCUAUCACACCGAGUGCAGUAGAUUACUCUUCGCUCAGGGCGUGCAGCGGGUUCCGGCCGUGAAACCCCCUACUUUUAAAGGUUGACCUCGGAUCAGGUAGGAAUACCCGCUGAACUUAAGCAUAUCAAUAAGCGGAGGA
RNAcentral lists this unclassified non-coding RNA (334 nucleotides) under soil metagenome. RNAcentral's name for it is "partial contains 5.8S ribosomal RNA, internal transcribed spacer 2, and large subunit ribosomal RNA". The stretch from base 1 to 120 matches the Rfam family "5.8S ribosomal RNA", at positions 35 to 154 of the family's 154-position model. The record is from RNAcentral.